Molecule: RNA transcript, 311 nt
Organism: Zea mays
Lineage: Eukaryota; Viridiplantae; Streptophyta; Magnoliopsida; Poales; Poaceae
Gene name: Thioredoxin pseudogene
Exons: 2
Source: RefSeq, marked validated
AGCUUGAAAAUUUCCAAAUUAUUGCAGCGGUCUUCAUUAUUUUGUGGACUGAACAUGUACUUGAAUUUAUGAGAAGCUGGCUUCAGUUUUCAAGCAGGACAACAGUGUUGUGAUUGCCAAUCUUGAUGCUGACAAGCACACUGACUUGGCUGAAAAAUAUGGUGUUUCUGGUUUCCCUACAUUGAAGUUCUUCCCUAAGGGAAACAAAGCCGGUGAAGAUUAUGAUGGUGGCCGGGACUUGGAUGACUUUGUCAAGUUCAUUAAUGAGAAGUGUGGCACCAGUCGGGAUCCAAAGGGCCACCUGACUUCAG